UACGAAGGGGGCUAGCGUUGCUCGGAAUCACUGGGCGUAAAGGGUGCGUAGGCGGGUCUUUUAGUCAGGGGCGAAAUCCUGGAGCUCAACUCCAGAACUGCCUUUGAUACUGAGGAUCUUGAGUUCGGGAGAGGUGAGUGGAACUGCGAGUGUAGAGGUGAAAUUCGUAGAUAUUCGCAAGAACACCAGUGGCGAAGGCGGCUCACUGGCCCGAUACUGACGCUGAGGCACGAAAGCGUGGGGAGCAAACAGG
This 253-nucleotide ribosomal RNA is filed under the name uncultured bacterium. Its description in RNAcentral is "partial 16S ribosomal RNA". It matches the Rfam family "Bacterial small subunit ribosomal RNA", at positions 524 to 776 of the family's 1533-position model. The record is from RNAcentral.